RNAcentral lists this ribosomal RNA (864 nucleotides) under Bacillus amyloliquefaciens. RNAcentral describes it as "bacterial SSU rRNA". It matches the Rfam family "Bacterial small subunit ribosomal RNA", at positions 63 to 873 of the family's 1533-position model. The record is from RNAcentral. Lineage: Bacteria; Bacillati; Bacillota; Bacilli; Caryophanales; Bacillaceae.
UGAGCGGACCAAAUGGGAGCUUGUUCCCUGAUGUUAGCGGCGGACGGGUGAGUAACACGUGGGUAACCUGCCUGUAAGACUGGGAUAACUCCGGGAAACCGGGGGCUAAUACCGGAUGGUUGUCUGAACCGCAUGGUUCAGACAUAAAAGGUGGCUUCGGCUACCACUUACAGAUGGACCCGCGGCGCAUUAGCUAGUUGGUGAGGUAACGGCUCACCAAGGCGACGAUGCGUAGCCGACCUGAGAGGGUGAUCGGCCACACUGGGACUGAGACACGGCCCAGACUCCUACGGGAGGCAGCAGUAGGGAAUCUUCCGCAAUGGACGAAAGUCUGACGGAGCAACGCCGCGUGAGUGAUGAAGGUUUUCGGAUCGUAAAGCUCUGUCCCCAGGGAAGAACAAGUGCCGUUCAAAUAGGGCGGCACCUUGACGGUACCUAACCAGAAAGCCACGGCUAACUACGUGCCAGCAGCCGCGGUAAUACGUAGGUGGCAAGCGUUGUCCGGAAUUAUUGGGCGUAAAGGGCUCGCAGGCGGUUUCUUAAGUCUGAUGUGAAAGCCCCCGGCUCAACCGGGGAGGGUCAUUGGAAACUGGGGAACUUGAGUGCAGAAGAGGAGACGGAAUUCCACGUGUAGCGGUGAAAUGCGUAGAGAUGUGGAGGAACACCAGUGGCGAAGGCGACUCUCUGGUCUGUAACUGACGCUGAGGAGCGAAAGCGUGGGGAGCGAACAGGAUUAGAUACCCUGGUAGUCCACGCCGUAAACGAUGAGUGCUAAGUGUUAGGGGGUUUCCGCCCCUUAGUGCUGCAGCUAACGCAUUAAGCAUUCCGCCUGGGAAUACGACGCCGCUAUAAUGAAAAAUGGCC